Molecule: long non-coding RNA, 717 nt
Organism: Triticum dicoccoides
Lineage: Eukaryota; Viridiplantae; Streptophyta; Magnoliopsida; Poales; Poaceae
Exons: 2
Source: RefSeq, a predicted model, not a curated record
UUGAUUCGUAGCAAACCACCAACGCCGUCGCGGCCACUUGAGAUAAGCUUGCCGGCCGGAGGUCAUUGCCGCUUGUUGCCACGGCGGCGCGGAGGGCGCGAGUCCAGCAGCGCGGACGACCGCGUGGCGACGAGGGCGUGAGGCGCGGCCCUGCGCUAGUCGUCUUCGCCGACGCCGGCCGCUGGUGCGUCAAGGGCUCGAUGCCUCUGUGUUGUCGCAUGGCUGAGGGCAGCCGAUGCGUGCGCUGCAAUGACGAGGGCUACAGAUAGAUGGACGCCAAUGCCCUGUUCUUCAUUCACGAGGCGAGGUUGCCGCAUGGAAGCUCUUCUGCCGGGGUGAGGGCCACCGUUUUCCUCGCCCGAGGGCGUCGCCGCUACAGCCACCACGGCCGCUCAUGGUCCGCCCGCGCUGGAAGGUUGGAUGGCCUUGUCCUUGGCCGCUCCGGUGCCGCCACGCCCGAGAGCGUUGUCGUCAUAGACGACCGUAUCGACGAAGACCGUCGAUAUGGGCGCCGCCGUUGGCGGAGGGAGUCGCUGCAGAGGGUCGGAUGAGAGCCGUGGCCUUGGCCGCCGCCGCCGGGGAAGGGCUCUCCACGCUGGAAUCGCUCAGUCGGGAGCGUGCUGAUAAUGUGUGAUGAAUAGAAUUGUACCGAGAGAGACAAAGGAACAAAUGACUCGAACCACACUUUAUUGACGAUGAAUGAGCACUUAUAUACAA